Molecule: ribosomal RNA, 477 nt
Filed under: uncultured bacterium
Lineage: Bacteria
Description: bacterial SSU rRNA
Rfam family: Bacterial small subunit ribosomal RNA
Source: RNAcentral
CUUGCUUCUUUGCUGACGACCGGCGCACGGGUGCGUAACGCGUAUACAAUCUACCUUGUACUGGGGGAUAGCCUUUAGAAAUGAAGAUUAAUACCCCAUAGUAUGUUAAGUUCGCAUGGACCUAAUAUUAAAGGUUACGGUACAAGAUGAGUAUGCGUCCUAUUAGCUAGUUGGUAUGGUAACGGCAUACCAAGGCAACGAUAGGUAGGGGCCCUGAGAGGGGGAUCCCCCACACUGGUACUGAGACACGGACCAGACUCCUACGGGAGGCAGCAGUGAGGAAUAUUGGACAAUGGAGGCAACUCUGAUCCAGCCAUGCCGCGUGCAGGAAGACUGCCCUAUGGGUUGUAAACUGCUUUUAUACAGGAAGAAACAUCGCUACGUGUAGCGACUUGACGGUACUGUAAGAAUAAGGAUCGGCUAACUCCGUGCCAGCAGCCGCGGUAAUACGGAGGAUCCAAGCGUUAUCCGGAAUCA